CCUACGGGGGGCAGCAGUGAGGAAUAUUGGUCAAUGGACGAGAGUCUGAACCAGCCAAGUAGCGUGAAGGAUGACUGCCCUAUGGGUUGUAAACUUCUUUUAUAUGGGAAUAAAAUGUUCCACGUGUGGGAUUUUGUAUGUACUAUAUGAAUAAGGAUCGGCUAACUCCGUGCCAGCAGCCGCGGUAAUACGGAGGAUCCGAGCGUUAUCCGGAUUUAUUGGGUUUAAAGGGAGCGUAGGUGGAUUGUUAAGUCAGUUGUGAAAGUUUGCGGCUCAACCGUAAAAUUGCAGUUGAAACUGGCAGUCUUGAGUACAGUAGAGGUGGGCGGAAUUCGUGGUGUAGCGGUGAAAUGCUUAGAUAUCACGAAGAACUCCGAUUGCGAAGGCAGUUCACUGGACUGCAACUGACACUGAGGCUCGAAAGUGUGGGUAUCAAACAGGAUUAGAUACCCUUGUAGU
Molecule: ribosomal RNA, 459 nt
Filed under: uncultured bacterium
Lineage: Bacteria
Description: partial 16S ribosomal RNA
Rfam family: Bacterial small subunit ribosomal RNA
Source: RNAcentral